GCGAGGAGAGGCUCUGCGCCUGCGCGGCGGGCCGGCGUGGUCGGUGGGUACCAGUCUCCCAGCCCCGCUGCGGGAGGCGCUUGGGAGGCCGGGAGCCUGGGGCCACCCUGGACAGCCAGCCGGGGGUGGGCGAGGAUGGAGGAUGGAGGAGAAAGCACAUUCUGACCUGUCUGGGAGUUGUACACCCUGGGACCUGGGACUUAACCUUGAAAUGCUGUCCAUUCUUCCGAUCUGAGAGCUGCCUAUCAUCAUGGAAAGAUCAACAACCUUGUUGCCAAAGCAAUGGAGGAGGCACCCAGACCAGCCCUUUGCAACUCCAGCCUCAAUUGCAUGCAAUCUGUAACCAUUGUACCCAUUCUUAUUGUUUUUGCCUACUUCUCCAUGCCUGCAAUCUUUGCCCCUCUACUCAGUAUAAGCAACUUGUUUCCUAGGGGGAAAGGGGAAGCAGAGCAGAUUUUUUGGGGGGACCUGCUACUCUCCCAUAUUACCGGCAAUAUUGGAAAAUAAAUGCUCAUAAACGAUUCAA
Pipistrellus kuhlii (Kuhl's pipistrelle) is the source of this 526-nucleotide long non-coding RNA. RefSeq lists it as uncharacterized. The record is from RefSeq and is a predicted model, not a curated record. Lineage: Eukaryota; Metazoa; Chordata; Mammalia; Chiroptera; Vespertilionidae. The transcript has 2 exons.